AACGAACGCUGGCGGCAUGCCUAAACACAUGCAAGUCGAACGAAGCCUUCGGGCUUAGUGGCGCACGGGUGCGUAACACGUGGGAAUCUGCCCUUCGGUUCGGAAUAACAGUUAGAAAUGACUGCUAAUACCGGAUGAUGACGAAAGUCCAAAGAUUUAUCGCCGAAGGAUGAGCCCGCGUAGGAUUAGGUAGUUGGUAGGGUAAUGGCCUACCAAGCCGACGAUCCUUAGCUGGUCUGAGAGGAUGAUCAGCCACACUGGGACUGAGACACGGCCCAGACUCCUACGGGAGGCAGCAGUGGGGAAUAUUGGACAAUGGGCGAAAGCCUGAUCCAGCAAUGCCGCGUGAGUGAUGAAGGCCUUAGGGUUGUAAAGCUCUUUUGUCAGGGAAGAAAUCUUCUGGGUUAAUACCUCGGGAGGAUGACGGUACCUGAAGAAUAAGCACCGGCUAACUACGUG
This 459-nucleotide ribosomal RNA is filed under the name uncultured bacterium. RNAcentral describes it as "bacterial SSU rRNA". It matches the Rfam family "Bacterial small subunit ribosomal RNA", at positions 29 to 507 of the family's 1533-position model. The record is from RNAcentral.